RNAcentral lists this ribosomal RNA (397 nucleotides) under uncultured bacterium. RNAcentral's name for it is "partial 16S ribosomal RNA". It matches the Rfam family "Bacterial small subunit ribosomal RNA", at positions 523 to 918 of the family's 1533-position model. The record is from RNAcentral.
AUACGUAGGUGACAAGCGUUAUCCGGAUUUACUGGGUGUAAAGGGAGCGUAGACGGAAGGCCAAGUCUGAUGUGAAAGCCCGCGGCUCAACUGCGGGACUGCAUUGGAAACUGGUCAUCUGGAGUGCAGGAGGGGUUAUCGGAAUUCCCGGUGUAGCGGUGAAAUGCGUAGAGAUCGGGAGGAACACCAGUGGCGAAGGCGGGUAACUGGACUGCAACUGACGCUGAGGCGCGAAAGUGUGGGGAGCGAACAGGAUUAGAUACCCUGGUAGUCCACACUGUAAACGAUGAAUGCUAGGUGUAGGAGGUAUCGACCCCUUCUGUGCCGCAGUAAACACAGUAAGCAUUCCGCCUGGGGAGUACGGUCGCAAGAUUAAAACUCAAAGGAAUUGACGGGG